GUACAGACUAGCAGCGGUUCGGCGACAGAAGCACUCUGGCAAUGCAAUGUCAAUGCGUAGACUCCAGGAGGUGUCACGAUGUUCCGUACGAGGGUGUCGCAGCCGAAAGCUAACGGUAACACAGUACUGCUGCGACGUGCGUGUGUUGUCUGGUGAUUUUGUAGCAUCUUAAUGAGGUGAUAAUGUGUACAAACCCCCCAUUACCACCACCCUCAAGUAACGUCUUCUAACGGCGUGCUGUGGUGAAAGUAGAUUUUUGGUGGGUUUUUUUAGAUAAAUGAAGCCACCGAGGCAAAAACAAAAUACUUUCCUUGGCUCCUGACACAUUGUAAAACAGAAAUAAACAGAGAGACUCAGGCAGCGAACAGAGAGAUUCCAGACAAGGGCGGGAAGGUACUGUUCUCGGGAUGUAAAGGCUAACCUAACCCCCACUCCAGAGCUGAAAGUGGUGUUACAGCGUUUUGUGUUCGCUGGUACAGUAAUAAACCUACAGGUACAGUACCUGUUGUGACGUUUGACUCCCAGUCAAAUGUCAUAAAGCAACACUGAUGAUCUGCCUAAUUACCAGACCAGGCGUUGCAGAUGAAGGGGGGACUCCUGUGAAAGCUGCAUGUAAAUAUUAUGUGUGACCACUGCAGGAAGCAUUACAUGCUGCACAUUUGCAAUGCCAGCCGAGCCCCAGGUUGCAGACAUUGUCUUGUGGGAUCCAGCCUGGACAAGCAUGUGUCCGUUCGCUGGUCACUGAGCGCUACAUGCCCUCAUCCCUCCUGCGCUCGGUGGAGUUUAGGUCUGAUGAAGAGAGACAGUACUUGGUUAUUUACACAUGACGACUGUAAGUCUGGUUCUGCCAAGUCCUGCCUGUUGUUGAAGCGUCUCUCCAGCGAGAUUCACUCUGGACACUGAUCCCUGAAGACAGCUGUCAAGUCUGGCUGCGCUGAUGGGACCUGGAUCCACACGUGUCCUGGGGAAUGUUCCGAUCCUGUUGCUCUGCGUUUCUUUUGUUCUGUAUUCAAUAAACUGCUGUUUGCGCUA
Molecule: non-coding RNA, 1032 nt
Organism: Lepisosteus oculatus (spotted gar)
Lineage: Eukaryota; Metazoa; Chordata; Actinopteri; Semionotiformes; Lepisosteidae
Source: RefSeq, a predicted model, not a curated record